CACAUCGUACAACAGUACGAUGUACUCAUUUUUGAGUGCCU
RNAcentral lists this ribosomal RNA (41 nucleotides) under Culex mollis. Its description in RNAcentral is "partial 5.8S ribosomal RNA". Lineage: Eukaryota; Metazoa; Arthropoda; Insecta; Diptera; Culicidae. The record is from RNAcentral.